RNAcentral lists this transfer RNA (72 nucleotides) under Phrynosoma platyrhinos (Desert horned lizard). RNAcentral's name for it is "tRNA-OTHER". The stretch from base 9 to 72 matches the Rfam family "tRNA". From Rfam's summary of the family: Transfer RNA (tRNA) molecules are approximately 80 nucleotides in length. Their secondary structure includes four short double-helical elements and three loops (D, anti-codon, and T loops). Lineage: Eukaryota; Metazoa; Chordata; Lepidosauria; Squamata; Phrynosomatidae. The record is from RNAcentral.
GCCAACGUGGUGGAGUGCUUUGAGCACUGGACUAUGACUCUGGAGACCAGGGUUCAAAUCCCUGCUUAGCCA